GUGGUGUAGUCCGGCCAAUCAUAUCGCCCUCUCGAGGCGAUGACACGGGUUCAAAUUAACCCUUUCCG
RNAcentral lists this transfer RNA (68 nucleotides) under Candidatus Woesearchaeota archaeon. RNAcentral's name for it is "tRNA-Glu". The record is from RNAcentral. Lineage: Archaea; Nanobdellati; Candidatus Woesearchaeota.